UACGAAGGGGGCUAGCGUUGCUCGGAAUUACUGGGCGUAAAGCGCACGUAGGCGGUCUUUUAAGUCGGUGGUGAAAUCCUGGAGCUCAACUCCAGAACUGCCUUCGAUACUGGAAGACUUGAGUCCGGGAGAGGUGAGUGGAACUGCGAGUGUAGAGGUGAAAUUCGUAGAUAUUCGCAAGAACACCAGUGGCGAAGGCGGCUCACUGGCCCGAUACUGACGCUGAGGCACGAAAGCGUGGGGAGCAAACAGG
RNAcentral lists this ribosomal RNA (253 nucleotides) under uncultured bacterium. RNAcentral's name for it is "partial 16S ribosomal RNA". It matches the Rfam family "Bacterial small subunit ribosomal RNA", at positions 524 to 776 of the family's 1533-position model. The record is from RNAcentral.